GAGUUGAAGUCCGUAUGAGUCUUUGGCUUUGUAUCUUUGACAAGGAAACACUACAUAGGCUUUUAAGAUCCUGUUGCGGUUCUAGUUCUUAUACUCAAUCAUACACAUGACCUCU
This 115-nucleotide small RNA is filed under the name Arabidopsis thaliana (thale cress). Its description in RNAcentral is "ATSL089450". Lineage: Eukaryota; Viridiplantae; Streptophyta; Magnoliopsida; Brassicales; Brassicaceae. The record is from RNAcentral.